GAAAGCCCAGGCGGCGGGGGAUGGGGUCGCGGCCCAUUAGGUAGUAGGCGGGGUAGAGGCCCACCUAGCCGACGAUGGGUAGCCGGACUGAGAGGUCGACCGGCCACAUUGGGACUGAGAUACGGCCCAGACUCCUACGGGAGGCAGCAGUGGGGAAUUUUGCGCAAUGGGGGAAACCCUGACGCAGCAACGCCGCGUGCGGGACGAAGGCCCUCGGGCUGUAAACCGCUUUCAGCAGGGAAGACAUCGACGGUACCUGCAGAAGAAGCUCCGGCUAACUACGUGCCAGCAGCCGCGGUAAUACGUAGGGGGCGAGCGUUAUCCGGAUUCAUUGGGCGUAAAGCGCGCGUAGGCGGCCGCCUAAGCGGAACCUCUAACCCCGGGGCUCAACCUCGGGCCGGGUUCCGGACUGGGCGGCUCGAGUGCGGUAGAGGAGAGCGGAAUUCCCGGUGUAGCGGUGGAAUGCGCAGAUAUCGGGAAGAACACCGAUGGCGAAGGCAGCUCUCUGGGCCGUCACUGACGCUGAGGCGCGAAAGCUGGGGGAGCGAACAGGAUUAGAUACCCUGGUAGUCCCAGCCGUAAACGAUGGACGCUAGGUGUGGGGGGACCUGCCCUCC
Molecule: ribosomal RNA, 617 nt
Filed under: uncultured bacterium
Lineage: Bacteria
Description: bacterial SSU rRNA
Rfam family: Bacterial small subunit ribosomal RNA
Source: RNAcentral